UACGGAGGGGGUUAGCGUUGUUCGGAAUUACUGGGCGUAAAGCGCGCGUAGGCGGAUUAGUCAGUUAGAGGUGAAAUCCCAGGGCUCAACCCUGGAACUGCCUUUAAUACUGCUAGUCUUGAGUUCGAGAGAGGUGAGUGGAAUUCCGAGUGUAGAGGUGAAAUUCGUAGAUAUUCGGAGGAACACCAGUGGCGAAGGCGGCGUCAGCUGGCUCGAUACUGACGCUGAGGUGCGAAAGAUGUGGGGAGGCAAAACAGGAUUAGAUACCCGGGUAGUCC
Molecule: ribosomal RNA, 278 nt
Filed under: uncultured bacterium
Lineage: Bacteria
Description: partial 16S ribosomal RNA
Rfam family: Bacterial small subunit ribosomal RNA
Source: RNAcentral